This is a non-coding RNA of Panus rudis PR-1116 ss-1, 107 nucleotides long. NCBI's taxonomy places the organism in Eukaryota, Fungi, Basidiomycota, Agaricomycetes, Polyporales, Panaceae. The record is from the annotation of a GenBank genome assembly.
GGCGAGAUGGCCGAGCGGUCUAAGGCGCCAGACUAAGGUUCCCUAUCAUCGCAGUGCAUGCUUUAAUCUGGUCCGAAAGGGCGUGGGUUCGAAUCCCACUCUCGUCA